Molecule: transfer RNA, 72 nt
Filed under: Gongylonema pulchrum
Lineage: Eukaryota; Metazoa; Nematoda; Chromadorea; Rhabditida; Gongylonematidae
Rfam family: tRNA
About the family: Transfer RNA (tRNA) molecules are approximately 80 nucleotides in length. Their secondary structure includes four short double-helical elements and three loops (D, anti-codon, and T loops).
Source: Rfam by way of RNAcentral
AGGUCGGUGGUGCAGUGGAUAGCAGGUCGCAUUCGAAUGUGAAGGAGAGUGGUUCGAUCCCCUCCUGGUCUU